AUUGUUUUGAUGUUCUGUCCACAUAUGACAAUUUAAUGAGACAUUCUAUGAUGCUGAACUGUGAUAGAAUCCUUUUUAUUAAAGAAAUUGUGUGAUCAAAGAUAGAACAUUUACCACCGUGUAUUAUUAUAUGCACCCAUUGACGAUGUAUUUGUUAGUACAGUAAACCUAUAGGAUUACCAUUGAUAAUGGUCACUUGUAUGUGACCGAAAUAUUUGGUUUAAAUA
Molecule: long non-coding RNA, 227 nt
Organism: Bradysia coprophila
Lineage: Eukaryota; Metazoa; Arthropoda; Insecta; Diptera; Sciaridae
Source: RefSeq, a predicted model, not a curated record